CGGUAACCCCUCCCGACCCGGUGGGUUCCCGGGGGCCAACAGCCCGGGCCCCGUAGCCGACCUGUACGGACCCAGCAGCCAGGAGUCCGCUGUGGGGAACUACAUCAGCGCCGCCAGCCCCCAGCCUGGAGCCGGCUUCGGCCCCAGCAUCACUGGCCCGUUGAUUGCGACAGCUUUCACAAACGGAUACCACUGAGCCGUGGCUCGGUCGCACCAGAGAGCGUGUCUGGUGUGGUGAGGAAGACGAGCUGAGGUGUGUAGUUGGCUGUAUGUUCGGGGGCCACCAACACCUCGGCCCUGCCACAACCCCACCCCCAA
Long non-coding RNA from Gadus chalcogrammus (walleye pollock), 318 nucleotides. RefSeq lists it as uncharacterized. The record is from RefSeq and is a predicted model, not a curated record. The transcript has 3 exons. Lineage: Eukaryota; Metazoa; Chordata; Actinopteri; Gadiformes; Gadidae.